AAGCGGCAACAGCUCAAAUUUGAAAUCUGGCCCUCGGGUCCGAGUUGUAAUUUGUAGAGGAUGCUUUUGGCGCGGUGCCUUCCGAGUUCCCUGGAACGGGACGCCUUAGAGGGUGAGAGCCCCGUACGGUUGGACACCAAGCCUCUGUAAAGCUCCUUCGACGAGUCGAGUAGUUUGGGAAUGCUGCUCUAAAUGGGAGGUAAAUUUCUUCUAAAGCUAAAUAUUGGCCAGAGACCGAUAGCGCACAAGUAGAGUGAUCGAAAGAUGAAAAGCACUUUGAAAAGAGGGUUAAAUAGCACGUGAAAUUGUUGAAAGGGAAGCGUUUGCGACCAGACCUUUUCCUAGGGGAUCAUCCGGUGUUCUCACCGGUGCACUUCCCUAGGUUCAGGCCAGCAUCGGUUUCUGUAGGGGGAUAAAAGCUCUGGGAACGUAGCUCCCUCGGGAGUGUUAUAGCCCUCUGCAUAAUACCCUUACGGGGACCGAGGACCG
Molecule: ribosomal RNA, 489 nt
Filed under: Xylaria sp. MU-54
Lineage: Eukaryota; Fungi; Ascomycota; Sordariomycetes; Xylariales; Xylariaceae
Description: eukaryotic LSU rRNA
Rfam family: Eukaryotic large subunit ribosomal RNA
Source: RNAcentral